AGUUGCUAGUAAUCGCGAAUCAGCAUGUCGCGGUGAAUACGUUCCCGGGCCUUGUACACACCGCCCGUCACACCAUGAGAGUUGGUAACACCCGAAGUCCGUGAGGUAACCGUAAGGAGCCAGCGGCCGAAGGUGGGAUUGAUGAUUGGGGUGAAGUCGUAACAAGGUAGCCGUAGGAGAACCUGCGGCUGGAUCACCUCCUUU
RNAcentral lists this ribosomal RNA (204 nucleotides) under Clostridium sp. CF011. Its description in RNAcentral is "partial 16S ribosomal RNA". It matches the Rfam family "Bacterial small subunit ribosomal RNA", at positions 1330 to 1533 of the family's 1533-position model. The record is from RNAcentral. RNAcentral also lists the same sequence under 1 other name. Lineage: Bacteria; Bacillati; Bacillota; Clostridia; Eubacteriales; Clostridiaceae.